Molecule: ribosomal RNA, 253 nt
Filed under: uncultured bacterium
Lineage: Bacteria
Description: partial 16S ribosomal RNA
Rfam family: Bacterial small subunit ribosomal RNA
Source: RNAcentral
UACGUAGGUGGCAAGCGUUGUCCGGAUUUACUGGGCGUAAAGCGCGCGCAGGUGGCCUAUCUGGUCUGGGGUGAAAUCUCCCGGCUCAACCGGGAGGAGUCUCCAGAUACCGAUGGGCUUGAGGAGAGCAGAGGAGAGCAGAAUUCCCGGUGUAGCGGUGAUAUGCGUAGAUAUCGGGAGGAAUACCAGUGGCGAAAGCGGCUCUCUGGGCUCUAUCUGACGCUCAGGCGCGAAAGCGUGGGGAGCAAACCGG